RNAcentral lists this ribosomal RNA (492 nucleotides) under uncultured bacterium. Its description in RNAcentral is "partial 16S ribosomal RNA". It matches the Rfam family "Bacterial small subunit ribosomal RNA", at positions 30 to 507 of the family's 1533-position model. The record is from RNAcentral.
AGUGAACGCUGGCGGUAGGCCUAACACAUGCAAGUCGAACGGCAGCACAGUAAGAGCUUGCUCUUACGGGUGGCGAGUGGCGGACGGGUGAGGAAUACAUCGGAAUCUACUUUUUCGUGGGGGAUAACGUAGGGAAACUUACGCUAAUACCGCAUACGACCUACGGGUGAAAGCCGGCGAUCUUCGGACCUUGCGCGAUUGAAUGAGCCGAUGUCGGAUUAGCUAGUUGGCGGGGGAAAGGCCCACCAAGGCGACGAUCCGUAGCUGGUAUGAGAGGAUGGACAGAUAGACGGGAACAGAGAAAGGGUACAGACUCUGAAGGGAGGAAGCAGUGGGGAAUAUUGGGCGAGGGAGGCGAGCCGGAUCCAGGAAAACGGCGUGAAGGAAGAAGGAGUUAGGGUUGGAAAGCGAUGUUGGUGGGAGAGAAAAACAGCAGGUUAAUACGGGGCGGUAAUGACGGUACCGAAAGAAUAAGCACCGGCUAACUCCGUG